GCCUAUAUAAAAAUGCAUCUAGCUAAAAACUGUGUACUUUCCUUGUCCUUUCCCCAGUAUUCAUUAACUCAAUAAGCAAUUAUCCAGUAUACAGGAAAUUAAUCAGCCAUCAUCCAGUAAACGUGGACUCAAUCAUCAAUCAUCCAGUAUACGUGGACUCAAUCAUCAAUCAUCUGUCAUCCAGUAAACGUGGACUCAAUCA
Molecule: non-coding RNA, 202 nt
Organism: Pelobates cultripes (western spadefoot toad)
Lineage: Eukaryota; Metazoa; Chordata; Amphibia; Anura; Pelobatidae
Source: the annotation of a GenBank genome assembly